GCGUAUAUAUUUUAAAAAAAAUAUUAGAUUGUGAUUCUAGUAAUGAAAGUUAAAAUCUUCCUAUACACC
RNAcentral lists this transfer RNA (69 nucleotides) under Chioglossa lusitanica. Its description in RNAcentral is "tRNA-His". It matches the Rfam family "tRNA". Rfam says of the family: Transfer RNA (tRNA) molecules are approximately 80 nucleotides in length. Their secondary structure includes four short double-helical elements and three loops (D, anti-codon, and T loops). Further hydrogen bonds mediate the characteristic L-shaped molecular structure. tRNAs have two regions of fundamental functional importance: the anti-codon, which is responsible for specific mRNA codon recognition, and the 3' end, to which the tRNAs corresponding amino acid is attached (by aminoacyl-tRNA synthetases). tRNAs cope with the degeneracy of the genetic code in two manners: having more than one tRNA (with a specific anti-codon) for a particular amino acid; and 'wobble' base-pairing, i.e. permitting non-standard base-pairing at the 3rd anti-codon position. Lineage: Eukaryota; Metazoa; Chordata; Amphibia; Caudata; Salamandridae. The record is from RNAcentral.